CUAAUACAUGCAGUCGAACGGUGUCUUCGGACAUAGUGGCGCACGGGUGCGUAACACGUAUGCAACCUACCUUACAUUGGGGGAUAGCCUUUCGAAAGGGAGAUUAAUACCGCAUAAGACAGUAACUAGGCAUCUAGUAGCUGUUAAAGAUUUAUCGAUGUAAGCUGGGCAUGCGACCAAUUAGCUAGUUGGUGAGGUAAUGGCUCACCAAGGCUAUGAUUGGUAGGGGAACUGAGAGGUCAAUCCCCCACACUGGCACUGAGAUACGGGCCAGACUCCUACGGGAGGCAGCAGUAGGGAAUAUUGGGCAAUGGACGCAAGUCUGACCCAGCCAUGCCGCGUGCAGGAUGAAGGCGUUAUGCGUUGUAAACUGCUUUUAUACAGGAAGAAACGACUCUUGCGAGAGGCAUUGACGGUACUGUAUGAAUAAGCACCGGCUAACUCCGUGCCAGCAGCCGCGGUAAUACGGAGGGUGCAAGCGUUGUCCGGAUUUAUUGGGUUUAAAGGGUGCGCAGGUGGUUUAUUAAGUCAGUGGUGAAAGACGGUCGCUCAACGAUUGCAGUGCCAUUGAAACUGGUAGACUUGAGUAAAGUAGAGGUGGGCGGAAUUGAUAGUGUAGCGGUGAAAUGCAUAGAUAUUAUCAAGAACUCCGAUUGCGUAGGCAGCUCACUUGGCUUUUACUGACACUCAUGCACGAAAGUGUGGGUAUCAAACAGGAUUAGAUACCCUGGUAGUCCACACUGUAAACGAUGAUAACUAGGUGUCGGCCGAAUCUGGUCGGUGCCACAGCGAAAGCGUUAAGUUAUCCACCUGGGGAGUACGCCGGCAACGGCGAAACUCAAAGGAAUUGACGGGGGUCCGCACAAGCGGUGGAGCAUGUGGGUUAA
This 887-nucleotide ribosomal RNA is filed under the name uncultured Flexibacteraceae bacterium. Its description in RNAcentral is "bacterial SSU rRNA". It matches the Rfam family "Bacterial small subunit ribosomal RNA", at positions 48 to 949 of the family's 1533-position model. The record is from RNAcentral. Lineage: Bacteria; Pseudomonadati; Bacteroidota; Cytophagia; Cytophagales; Cytophagaceae.